This 492-nucleotide ribosomal RNA is filed under the name uncultured bacterium. RNAcentral's name for it is "partial 16S ribosomal RNA". It matches the Rfam family "Bacterial small subunit ribosomal RNA", at positions 29 to 507 of the family's 1533-position model. The record is from RNAcentral.
AGUGAACGCUGGCGGUAGGCCUAACACAUGCAAGUCGAACGGCAGCACAGUAAGAGCUUGCUCUUACGGGUGGCGAGUGGCGGACGGGUGAGGAAUACAUCGGAAUCUACUUUUUCGUGGGGGAUAACGUAGGGAAACUUACGCUAAUACCGCAUACGACCUACGGGUGAAAGCAGGGGAUCUUCGGACCUUGCGCGAUUGAAUGAGCCGAUGUCGGAUUAGCUAGCUGGCGGGGUAAAGGCCCACCAAGGCGACGAUCCGUAGCUGGUCUGAGAGGAUGAUCAGCCACACUGGAACUGAGACACGGUCCAGACUCCUACGGGAGGCAGCAGUGGGGAAUAUUGGACAAUGGACGCAAGCCUGAUCCAGCCAUACCGCGUGGGUGAAGAAGGCCUUCGGGUUGUAAAGCCCUUUUGUUGGGAAAGAAAAGCAGCAGGUUAAUACCCCGCUGUUCUGACGGUACCCAAAGAAUAAGCACCGGCUAACUUCGUG